RNAcentral lists this ribosomal RNA (497 nucleotides) under uncultured bacterium. Its description in RNAcentral is "partial 16S ribosomal RNA". It matches the Rfam family "Bacterial small subunit ribosomal RNA", at positions 28 to 507 of the family's 1533-position model. The record is from RNAcentral.
GAUGAACGCUGGCGGCGUGCCUAAUACAUGCAAGUCGAGCGAACGGACGAGAAGCUUUCUUCUCUGAUGUUAUCGGCGGACGGGUGAUUAACUCGGGGAUAACCUACCUAUACGACAGGGAUAACUUCAGGGAACCGUGUCUAAUACCGGAUAAUAUUUUGAACUUCAUUGUUCAAAAGUUGAAUACGGUAUUUCUUUGGCUUAUAGAUUAAUCCGCCCUGGAUUAAGUAGUUGGUAAAGUAACGGCUUACCAAGGCAACGAUGCAUAGCCGACCCCAAAGGGACAUCGGACACCCUGGAUGUGAGACACGGCCCCGACUCCUAGGGGAGGCAGCGGUCGAGACUCCUACGCAAUGGACGAGAGCCUGACGGAGCAAAGUGGCGUGAGUGAUGAUCGUCUUAGGAUGGUUAAACUCUGUAAUCAGUGGAGAACAUAUGUGCAAGUACCUGUGAAGAUAUUGACGGUACCUAAAGAGAAAGCUACGGCUAACUCCGUG